This 912-nucleotide ribosomal RNA is filed under the name uncultured bacterium. RNAcentral's name for it is "bacterial SSU rRNA". It matches the Rfam family "Bacterial small subunit ribosomal RNA", at positions 8 to 916 of the family's 1533-position model. The record is from RNAcentral.
AGAGUUUGAUCCUGGCUCAGGACGAACGCCGGCGGCGUGCCUAACACAUGCAAGUCGAGCGGAGUUGACAAGAGGAAGUUUUCGGAUGGAAUCUUGUUAAUUUAGCGGCGGACGGGUGAGUAACGCGUGAGCGACCAACCUUGCACAGGGGGAUAACGGACCGAAAGGUUCACUAAUACCGCAUGAGACCACGGUGUUGCAUGACACAGGGGUCAAAGGAGCAAUCCGGUGCAAGACGGGCUCGCGUCCGAUUAGGUAGUUGGAGGGGUAACGGCCCACCAAGCCUAUGAUCGGUAGCCGACCUGAGAGGGUGAUCGGCCACAUUGGAACUGAGAUACGGUCCAAACUCCUACGGGAGGCAGCAGUGGGGAAUAUUGGGCAAUGGGGGAAACCCUGACCCAGCAACGCCGCGUGAAGGAAGAAGGUUUUCGGAUUGUAAACUUCUGUCCUUGGUGAAGAGAAGAAGACGGUAGCCAAGGAGGAAGCCCCGGCUAACUACGUGCCAGCAGCCGCGGUAAUACGUAGGGGGCAAGCGUUGUCCGGAAUGAUUGGGCGUAAAGGGCGCGUAGGCGGCUUUAUAAGUCUGGAGUGAAAGUCCUCUUUUCAAGGGAGGAAUUGCUUUGGAAACUAUAGAGCUUGAGUGCAGGAGAGGUUAUCGGAAUUCCCGGUGUAGCGGUGAAAUGCGUAGAUAUCGGGAGGAACAUCGGUGGCGAAGGCGGGUAACUGGACUGCAACUGACGCUGAGGCGCGAAAGUGUGGGGAGCAAACAGGAUUAGAUACCCUGGUAGUCCACACGGUAAACGAUGAAUGCUAGGUGUAGGAGGUAUCGACCCCUUCUGUGCCGCAGUUAACACAAUAAGCAUUCCGCCUGGGGAGUACGGUCGCAAGAUUAAAACUCAAAGGAAUUGACGG